RNAcentral lists this ribosomal RNA (497 nucleotides) under uncultured bacterium. RNAcentral describes it as "partial 16S ribosomal RNA". It matches the Rfam family "Bacterial small subunit ribosomal RNA", at positions 28 to 507 of the family's 1533-position model. The record is from RNAcentral.
GAUGAACGCUGGCGGCGUGCUUAAUACAUGCAAGUCGAGCGAAAAGGCGAGGACUUUCCUGGGUUGACGUGAGGCGCGGGGGUGAGUGUCACGCGGGGGUCCUGUACCGAUAAGAGGGGGAUAACUGCGGGUCACGGGAUCUAAUAGCGGAGAAUAUAUUUAAGCGCGGUGUGCUAGAGUGAAAGACGGUUUGGCUUGCGCUUAUGGCUUGAUCCCCGGUGUAUUAGCUAGUGGGUAAGGUAAGGGUUUACCAAGGGGACGAUGCGUAGCCGGCCUGAGAGGGUGAUCCGCCACACUGGAAUUGAGACACGGUCCAGACUCCUACGGGAGGCAGCAGUAGGGAAUCUUGCAGCAUGGGCGAAAGCUUGACGGAGCAACGCCGCGUGAGUGAUGAAGGUCUUCGGAUCGUAAAACUCUGUUAUUUGGGAAGAACAAAUGUGUAAGUAAGUAUGGAUGUUUUGACGGUACCUAAAGAAAAAGCACCGGCUAACUACGUG